GGGUUGUGAGGUUAAGCGACUAAGCGUACACGGUGGAUGCCCUGGCAGUCAGAGGCGAUGAAGGACGUGCUAAUCUGCGAUAAGCGUCGGUAAGGUGAUAUGAACCGUUAUAACCGGCGAUUUCCGAAUGGGGAAACCCAGUGUGAUUCGUCACACUAUCAUUAACUGAAUCCAUAGGUUAAUGAGGCGAACCGGGGGAACUGAAACAUCUAAGUACCCCGAGGAAAAGAAAUCAACCGAGAUUCCCCCAGUAGCGGCGAGCGAACGGGGAGCAGCCCAGAGCCUGAAUCAGUAUGUGUGUUAGUGGAAGCGUCUGGAAAGGCGCGCGAUACAGGGUGACAGCCCCGUACACAAAAAUGCACAUGCUGUGAGCUCGAUGAGUAGGGCGGGACACGUGGUAUCCUGUCUGAAUAUGGGGGGACCAUCCUCCAAGGCUAAAUACUCCUGACUGACCGAUAGUGAACCAGUACCGUGAGGGAAAGGCGAAAAGAACCCCGGCGAGGGGAGUGAAAAAGAACCUGAAACCGUGUACGUACAAGCAGUGGGAGCACAGAGCAAUCUGUGUGACUGCGUACCUUUUGUAUAAUGGGUCAGCGACUUAUAUUCUGUAGCAAGGUUAACCGAAUAGGGGAGCCGAAGGGAAACCGAGUCUUAACUGGGCGUUAAGUUGCAGGGUAUAGACCCGAAACCCGGUGAUCUAGCCAUGGGCAGGUUGAAGGUUGGGUAACACUAACUGGAGGACCGAACCGACUAAUGUUGAAAAAUUAGCGGAUGACUUGUGGCUGGGGGUGAAAGGCCAAUCAAACCGGGAGAUAGCUGGUUCUCCCCGAAAGCUAUUUAGGUAGCGCCUCGUGAAUUCAUCUCCGGGGGUAGAGCACUGUUUCGGCAAGGGGGUCAUCCCGACUUACCAACCCGAUGCAAACUGCGAAUACCGGAGAAUGUUAUCACGGGAGACACACGGCGGGUGCUAACGUCCGUCGUGAAGAGGGAAACAACCCAGACCGCCAGCUAAGGUCCCAAAGUCAUGGUUAAGUGGGAAACGAUGUGGGAAGGCCCAGACAGCCAGGAUGUUGGCUUAGAAGCAGCCAUCAUUUAAAGAAAGCGUAAUAGCUCACUGGUCGAGUCGGCCUGCGCGGAAGAUGUAACGGGGCUAAACCAUGCACCGAAGCUGCGGCAGCGACGCUGAUGCGUUGUUGGGUAGGGGAGCGUUCUGUAAGCCUGUGAAGGUGUGCUGUGAGGCAUGCUGGAGGUAUCAGAAGUGCGAAUGCUGACAUAAGUAACGAUAAAGCGGGUGAAAAGCCCGCUCGCCGGAAGACCAAGGGUUCCUGUCCAACGUUAAUCGGGGCAGGGUGAGUCGACCCCUAAGGCGAGGCCGAAAGGCGUAGUCGAUGGGAAACAGGUUAAUAUUCCUGUACUUGGUGUUACUGCGAAGGGGGACGGAGAAGGCUAUGUUGGCCGGGCGACGGUUGUCCCGGUUUAAGCGUGUAGGCUGGUUUUCCAGGCAAAUCCGGAAAACUAAGGCUGAGGCGUGAUGACGAGGCACUACGGUGCUGAAGCAACAAAUGCCCUGCUUCCAGGAAAAGCCUCUAAGCAUCAGGUAACAUCAAAUCGUACCCCAAACCGACACAGGUGGUCAGGUAGAGAAUACCAAGGCGCUUGAGAGAACUCGGGUGAAGGAACUAGGCAAAAUGGUGCCGUAACUUCGGGAGAAGGCACGCUGAUAUGUAGGUGAAGUCCCUCGCGGAUGGAGCUGAAAUCAGUCGAAGAUACCAGCUGGCUGCAACUGUUUAUUAAAAACACAGCACUGUGCAAACACGAAAGUGGACGUAUACGGUGUGACGCCUGCCCGGUGCCGGAAGGUUAAUUGAUGGGGUCAGCGCAAGCGAAGCUCUUGAUCGAAGCCCCGGUAAACGGCGGCCGUAACUAUAACGGUCCUAAGGUAGCGAAAUUCCUUGUCGGGUAAGUUCCGACCUGCACGAAUGGCGUAAUGAUGGCCAGGCUGUCUCCACCCGAGACUCAGUGAAAUUGAACUCGCUGUGAAGAUGCAGUGUACCCGCGGCAAGACGGAAAGACCCCGUGAACCUUUACUAUAGCUUGACACUGAACAUUGAGCCUUGAUGUGUAGGAUAGGUGGGAGGCUUUGAAGUGUGGACGCCAGUCUGCAUGGAGCCGACCUUGAAAUACCACCCUUUAAUGUUUGAUGUUCUAACGUUGACCCGUAAUCCGGGUUGCGGACAGUGUCUGGUGGGUAGUUUGACUGGGGCGGUCUCCUCCUAAAGAGUAACGGAGGAGCACGAAGGUUGGCUAAUCCUGGUCGGACAUCAGGAGGUUAGUGCAAUGGCAUAAGCCAGCUUGACUGCGAGCGUGACGGCGCGAGCAGGUGCGAAAGCAGGUCAUAGUGAUCCGGUGGUUCUGAAUGGAAGGGCCAUCGCUCAACGGAUAAAAGGUACUCCGGGGAUAACAGGCUGAUACCGCCCAAGAGUUCAUAUCGACGGCGGUGUUUGGCACCUCGAUGUCGGCUCAUCACAUCCUGGGGCUGAAGUAGGUCCCAAGGGUAUGGCUGUUCGCCAUUUAAAGUGGUACGCGAGCUGGGUUUAGAACGUCGUGAGACAGUUCGGUCCCUAUCUGCCGUGGGCGCUGGAGAACUGAGGGGGGCUGCUCCUAGUACGAGAGGACCGGAGUGGACGCAUCACUGGUGUUCGGGUUGUCAUGCCAAUGGCACUGCCCGGUAGCUAAAUGCGGAAGAGAUAAGUGCUGAAAGCAUCUAAGCACGAAACUUGCCCCGAGAUGAGUUCUCCCUGACUCCUUGAGAGUCCUGAAGGAACGUUGAAGACGACGACGUUGAUAGGCCGGAUGUGUAAGCGCAGCGAUGCGUUGAGCUAACCGGUACUAAUGAACCGUGAGGCUUAACCUUACAACGCCGAAGGUGUUU
Molecule: ribosomal RNA, 2932 nt
Filed under: Escherichia coli O111 str. RM9322
Lineage: Bacteria; Pseudomonadati; Pseudomonadota; Gammaproteobacteria; Enterobacterales; Enterobacteriaceae
Description: bacterial LSU rRNA
Rfam family: Bacterial large subunit ribosomal RNA
Source: RNAcentral